GGAGAAUCCCCACUUUGGACUUUGCACUUUUCACUUUUUACUCCGAUUUUGCUUCCGAGCAAAAUCGGGGGAGGAAGGCGAGGAUGACGCCAGGUCAGCAUGGCCCUCUGAUACCCUGGGCUACACACGUGAUACAAUGGCUACUACAACGCGUUGCGACGGGGUAACCCCGAGCUAAUCGUAAUAAAAGUAGCCCCAGUUCAGACUGAGGUCUGCAACUUGACCUCAUGAAGUUGGAAUCGCUAGUAAUCGCGGGUCAGCACACCGCGGUGAAUACGUUCUCAAGUCUUGUACUCGGGUCGCCAUGCGAUCGAGUACGCUAGUUGGUGCUUUAGCACUAAAAAUUAGUGCUAAAAAAUCCAGCCAA
RNAcentral lists this ribosomal RNA (367 nucleotides) under bacterium. RNAcentral describes it as "bacterial SSU rRNA". The stretch from base 1 to 294 matches the Rfam family "Bacterial small subunit ribosomal RNA", at positions 1094 to 1386 of the family's 1533-position model. The record is from RNAcentral.